AAACUGUCAACAAACAAAUCGGAGUUCUCCCUCAAUAUAAUUUGAGGAGUUCAACUGAAAUCACCAUAACCAAACCCACAAAUUUGCGGGACGAAAACACCAAAAAUGGCUGAUGAACUAAACAAAGCUGCUUUAGAGGAAUACAAGUCGUCAUCUGUAGAAGACAGAGGUGAGGAAGGAGAGAUCGUAGGGGAAUCGGAUGAUACCGCUUCGUCUUUAGGGAAACAAAUCACUAUGAAACAUCCACUAGAACAUUCCUGGACAUUUUGGUUCGAUAACCCUUCAGGGAAAUCGAAACAAGCUGCUUGGGGUAGUUCUAUUCGCCCCAUUUACACCUUCUCCACUGCUGAAGAUUUUUGGAGUGUGUACAACAACAUCCACCACCCAAGCAAGUUGGCCGUGGGUGCAGAUUUCCAUUGUUUUAAAAAUAAAAUCGAGCCAAAGUGGGAGGAUCCUGUAUGUGCCAAUGGAGGGAAAUGGACAAUGAACUUUUCUAGGGGUAAAUCUGAUACCUGCUGGCUGUAUACGCUUCUGGCACUGAUUGGAGAGCAAUUCGAUUAUGGAGAUGAAAUUUGUGGAGCGGUUAUCAAUGUUCGAGUUAGACAAGAAAAAAUAGCUCUGUGGACCAGGAAUGCUGCCAAUGAAACAGCUCAGGUGAGCAUUGGUAAACAAUGGAAAGAGUUUUUGGAUUACAAUGACACAAUUGGCUUUAUAUUUCAUGAUGAUGCAAAGAAGCUUGACAGAGCUGCCAAGAAUCGUUAUUCCGUGUAGUUCUAUCGUUACAACAGGGAAUGCAAUCAAUAGAGUUACAGGUAGUAUAGUUGUUUUACUGAAGAAUCAGCAGUCACUUACGGCUGCAUGUUUUACCUUUUGUAUUGGCAUUGCCAAUUUUCGUAUAGGGUAUUUGUUUGGUUUUGAAGCUUUUUGAUGACUUAACGAUUGGCCAUAUGCAUACUUGUAUUAGUACCGAUGUUAUAGAGGUAUUUUGCUAUUUCUGUGAAGUUGACAGCACUUAGCAUUCGUAUGUAUGUGUUUCGCUUUCCUUUGCAAUCCAACUUACUCUUUGAGGGGUCAUUUGAUAUGGUG
This 1086-nucleotide unclassified non-coding RNA is filed under the name Hevea brasiliensis (rubber tree). The record is from RNAcentral. Lineage: Eukaryota; Viridiplantae; Streptophyta; Magnoliopsida; Malpighiales; Euphorbiaceae.